CCUACGGGGGGCAGCAGUGAGGAAUAUUGGUCAAUGGACGAGAGUCUGAACCAGCCAAGUAGCGUGAAGGAUGACUGCCCUAUGGGUUGUAAACUUCUUUUAUAUGGGAAUAAAAUGUUCCACGUGUGGGAUUUUGUAUGUACCAUAUGAAUAAGGAUCGGCUAACUCCGUGCCAGCAGCCGCGGUAAUACGGAGGAUCCGAGCGUUAUCCGGAUUUAUUGGGUUUAAAGGGAGCGUAGGUGGAUUGUUAAGUCAGUUGUGAAAGUUUGCGGCUCAACCGUAAAAUUGUAGUUGAAACUGGCAGUCUUGAGUACAGUAGAGGUGGGCGGAAUUCGUGGUGUAGCGGUGAAAUGCUUAGAUAUCACGAAGAACUCCGAUUGCGAAGGCAGUUCACUGGACUGCAACUGACACUGAGGCUCGAAAGUGGGGGUAUCAAACAGGAUUAGAUACCCGUGUAGUC
RNAcentral lists this ribosomal RNA (460 nucleotides) under uncultured bacterium. RNAcentral describes it as "partial 16S ribosomal RNA". It matches the Rfam family "Bacterial small subunit ribosomal RNA", at positions 338 to 795 of the family's 1533-position model. The record is from RNAcentral.